UGGAAGUAGAAGGUGUGUGGUAUAUAUCUUCCACUGAUCUGAGACUUGUGACUAGGAUGGAAGUAGAAGGUGUGUGGUAUAUAUCUUCCACUGAUCUGAGACUUGUGACUAGGAUGGAAGCAGAAGGUGUGUGGUAUAUAUCUUCCACUGAUCUGAGACUUGUGACUAGGAUGGAAGCAGAAGGUGUGUGGUAUAUAUCUUCCACUGAUCUGAGACUUGUGACUAGGAUGGAAGCAGAAGGUGUGUGGUAUAUAUCUUCCACUGAUCUGAGACUUGUGACUAGGAUGGAAGUAGAAGGUGUGUGAUAUAUAUCUUCCACUGAUCUGAGACUUGUGACUAGGAUGGAAGCAGAAGGUGUGUGGUAUAUAUCUUCCACUGAUCUGAGACUUGUGACUAGGAUGGAAGUAGAAGGUG
Haliotis rubra (blacklip abalone) is the source of this 414-nucleotide long non-coding RNA. RefSeq lists it as uncharacterized. The transcript is spliced from 3 exons. The record is from RefSeq and is a predicted model, not a curated record. Lineage: Eukaryota; Metazoa; Mollusca; Gastropoda; Lepetellida; Haliotidae.